Molecule: unclassified non-coding RNA, 2675 nt
Filed under: Acromyrmex echinatior (Panamanian leafcutter ant)
Lineage: Eukaryota; Metazoa; Arthropoda; Insecta; Hymenoptera; Formicidae
Description: polycomb group protein Psc-like, transcript variant X3
Source: RNAcentral
GACGACGACGACGACGACGACGACGACGAUCACUUCUGCCACGCUGUUGCUGUUUCAGCACAGGUUAACAACAUGGAGGCAAAGGAGAGGGAAAAGCCGUUAGUCAAAGAUUUGAACGAACAUAUCGUAUGUCCCCUGUGCAGAGGAUAUCUCAUAGACGCUACGACUCUUGUGGAAUGUCUACACUCCUUUUGCAGAGGUUGUAUCGUUCGACGUCUGAGUAGUGGCGCCCGCGCGUGCCCCGUGUGUAGCGUUGCGACGUCGCCACCUCUCUUGCCGGAUAUGCGACUCCAACGGCUGGUGUACCUUGCGGUGCCUGGUCUCUUCCGGUCGGAGCUUGAACGUAGAUGCCAUUUCCGUCUGGUGAAUCCGCAAUGUCCGCCUUUGGCACCGCCCGUGGGUGCUCUCGAAUUAACACUGGAUGAUCUCGUCAGUCUAAGCUUGCAAGAGUUAGAGGACACGGAAGACGAAAUACCGAAGAAAGAACGCGGCUCGUCGAAGAAGGAUGUGCCAACGGAGAACAAAAGUACAAGCGGAAGCACGAGGUAUCUCAAGUGCCCAGCUGCUGUGACAGUGCGUCAUCUGGUGAGACUGCUGAUGCUGAAAAGAGGUUGGGAAGAGGCUAACGCGACCGUCAACGGUAUCAUUAAUAGGAUAAAGAUUUUGUACCAGAAACACGAGACACAGCACCCCGACGAGUUGAAUAUGUAUCCGCUGGAUCCCUCUUGGACACUUCUAGAUCUUGCUUGCAUAUUUCAAUGGAAGAGGGAGGCGCCAAUGAAGCUAUUCUAUCGGGUGUUGCGAAAGGAUGGGCAGAUUUCGAUCUCGAAAGUUCCCGCAUACAAAGACGAUGUGACCAAGGAUGUUCCGCCAGCGAUGGAAAAUAUACAGCGACCACCGACCCCACCACCUAGUCCCAAGCCCAAUCGUGAGCACGAAGAGGAAGCUCGUAACAUAGAGCCACCUCGUGCUCUCGAAACAAAUGUCAAUGUCCGUGACAAAGAGAUAAAAACGAAAAAACCACGUUGUGAGGUGACUCCCGUUAUGCGUACUCCGGAUCCUCCGUCAACCAUCGAACUGUCGACAAGCAAUCGUCAUCGGUCGCUAGAGAAAACGAAGAACAAGGAUAUGGCAAGAUUGGAACAUCGGAAGCGGCACAAACGACACAAACGAGUGAUAGCGGAGAUCACCACAGUGCCGCGCGAGGAUCUCUUGAAACUUAAGGUCCGCCUGACGCCUCGUCCUCCGAGAAUUACUUCCGGGACGACAGGCGGUGGAGGGGGUGGGAGCGGAGGUGGUGCAAAUAACCAAACGAAGGAGAAACUGUUACAGAUGCGAGCAGUUAGACGUGACAAGCUCAAAGCGAUUGCAGUGCAGCAGCGAUCGCCAACGAGUCCAGUAGCUCGAGAGGAAACCAAAUCCAAAGAGUGCGUCGUAAUAGAGACGGAAGAAACGAUCGAGGAGAUCAUCGACAGCAUUCCUGACGAGGUCGUGCGUAUCGCGCAGAACAUAAAUAAUCAAAACGAAGAAACUAAGUUCAAGGAGUGUUCCACGACGAAAAAGAUUAAUAAGGAGGUGCCGGAACGAACGAAAACACCGGAGAGCAGUGACGAAUCGGAGAAUCCGAAGAAAGACGAGGAGAUUUUGCGGCGACUGGGCCUGGUAGCUGUUAACGAAGCCAGCGGUGACAGAAUGGCGAAGCAACGAACACAAAGUGGCACUGACAAGGUGGACAAUUUGAAUCAUGAUAAGCUAGAGAAGCAGUUGCGCGAAAACAAGGCGAACCGCGUGCGAAGCUUAUUGGCGGAGAAGAAGAUGCGUGACGCCCUCAAGACUAUUAUCUCCAAGAAGGAGGAAUUAACGCCGUCCGUCAUAAAGACGCCAGCGUCCGUUCUUACUUCCGUCGCCGCUGCUGUCACCGUCGCCACACCCGUGCCUACCGCGCCCGUGACUGUGCCUGUGAUGCCGAAGAUGAAGGAACCACCACCGUUGACGCCUAUACGCGUCGCGAAAUCAUCCAGUUUUGCCGCGACCAGCGUGAUAGUGUCGAAUAUCACUUCCAAAUAUGAAACGCCAUUAGACCUCAGCAGCGGCGGUACCACCGUCAACGAUAAUGACAACGACAACGACAAUGUUCUCGAUUUGUCUGCUACGUUACCCGGCGGCAACCAUCUUCCAUCUUUCUCACCCUCCUCCUUAUCUUCUCUCACCUCUUCCUCAUCUUCCUUACCGCUGUUGUCGAAACUGUCAGCGCGAUCUACAACCGGCGGCACCGUUGGCACGGUAGUUCGCAAAUCCAAGGAGCUAGAACAGCAACGCGGCAAAGGACAGCAAGAAUCGAAUCUGAAGACUCUUUCGGAUGUCGCAGUGUCACGUAUGAGUAGUACCGAAAAGAAUUCGCCGGUAGAAUCGCUAACCUCCGCAAACGUAAACGCUGCCGCUAAUAAGGUCGCUUUGCGCAUACCACAGCCGCAUCAUCGCAUCUCCGGUUUUGGCAUGAAAAAUUUUUAUGAAGCCCAGAACAAUAUAAAAAUCUACACUGAAAUUUGAAGAACCUAGAUUGUAGACGAAGGGUGAAAAUUUCAUCACAUUGUUGACAGAAGAGGGGUGGGAAGGGAAAGGAAAAUUGUCGACCACUCGUCGAAUUGUUGUUACCUAGAGAUAUCAAAACUACG